GCCCGGUUAGCUCAAUCGGUAGAGCGUGAGACUCUUAAUCUCAAGGUUGCGGGUAAGUCACGAAUUCCAAGCUUGCACGUUCAGUUCGGCAGCAUGUUAACAUCUCUUCCUAGGUUCGACCCCCGCAUCGGGCU
Molecule: non-coding RNA, 134 nt
Organism: Camillea tinctor
Lineage: Eukaryota; Fungi; Ascomycota; Sordariomycetes; Xylariales; Graphostromataceae
Source: the annotation of a GenBank genome assembly